AACGCACAUUGCACCUCUUGGUAAUCCUUGAGGUAUACUUGUUCGAGCGCCGUUUAAAUUCUAAGGCUUUGCCUUGUGUUGAUGUUUUUAUCGCGAAUAGCGAUUCAUCAAAAAGAAUUGGCGUCUGUUUUUUUAGCCAGAAACGCAGUGAAAAUGCGAAGAAGGCUUAGAAUAAACUGCCUGUUUUUCAUCCGACAGCUUUGCUGUCAGACAAUCCAAAAAAACAUGGCCUCGAAUCAAGUAGGGAUACCCGCUGAACUUAA
RNAcentral lists this unclassified non-coding RNA (263 nucleotides) under uncultured fungus. Its description in RNAcentral is "sequence contains ITS2". The record is from RNAcentral. Lineage: Eukaryota; Fungi.